Molecule: ribosomal RNA, 495 nt
Filed under: uncultured bacterium
Lineage: Bacteria
Description: partial 16S ribosomal RNA
Rfam family: Bacterial small subunit ribosomal RNA
Source: RNAcentral
GACGAACGCUGGCGGCGUGCCUAAUACAUGCAAGUAGAACGCUGAAGGAGGAGCUUGCUCUUCUGGAUGAGUUGCGAACGGGUGAGUAACGCGUAGGUAACCUGCCUGGUAGCGGGGGAUAACUAUUGGAAACGAUAGCUAAUACCGCAUAACAGUAGAUGUUGCAUGACAUUUACUUAAAAGGUGCAAUUGCAUCACUACCAGAUGGACCUGCGUUGUAUUAGCUAGUUGGUGGGGUAACGGCUCACCAAGGCGACGAUACAUAGCCGACCUGAGAGGGUGAUCGGCUACACUGGGACUGAGACACGGCCCAGACUCCUACGGGAGGCAGCAGUAGGGAAUCUUCGGCAAGGGACGGAAGUCUGACCGAGCAACGCCGCGUGAGUGAAGAAGGUUGUCGGAUCGUAAAGCUCUGUUGUAAGAGAAGAACGAGUGUGAGAGUGGAAAGUUCACACUGUGACGGUAUCUUACCAGAAAGGGACGGCUAACUACGUG